RNAcentral lists this transfer RNA (77 nucleotides) under Clostridia bacterium. Its description in RNAcentral is "tRNA-Met". It matches the Rfam family "tRNA". From Rfam's summary of the family: Transfer RNA (tRNA) molecules are approximately 80 nucleotides in length. Their secondary structure includes four short double-helical elements and three loops (D, anti-codon, and T loops). Lineage: Bacteria; Bacillati; Bacillota; Clostridia. RNAcentral also lists the same sequence under 1 other name. The record is from RNAcentral.
GGCGGAAUAGCUCAGUUGGCUAGAGCACUCGGUUCAUACCCGAGGUGUCGUAGGUUCAAGUCCCACUUCCGCUACCA